GGAGAGUGGCGUAGUGGUUUGAGCAUUGGACUACAACUCUGGAGACCAGGAUUUGAUUCCUUGCUCAUCCA
Molecule: transfer RNA, 71 nt
Filed under: Phrynosoma platyrhinos (Desert horned lizard)
Lineage: Eukaryota; Metazoa; Chordata; Lepidosauria; Squamata; Phrynosomatidae
Description: tRNA-OTHER
Source: RNAcentral